RNAcentral lists this long non-coding RNA (751 nucleotides) under Neogobius melanostomus (round goby). RNAcentral's name for it is "lncRNA (ENSNMLG00000024925.1)". Lineage: Eukaryota; Metazoa; Chordata; Actinopteri; Gobiiformes; Gobiidae. The record is from RNAcentral.
GUCAUUUAGCCGGUUCACGUCUGUAGUCGUCAUUAUACGGCAGAGGCCGUUGCUGUGGAACAAGAAGCUUGCGAACAGAACAGGACUGCGCGCGCUAUUUUAAUGAGCGGAUCAGGUGCCACACCCUCUACUACAGAGUGCCCAAAUCCGUCGCUUUCCCUGUUGUAACACAGGGCUGAAUAUACUCAGUGACCUGCACUCAUGCUGCAUUGUGUGGGGACAGAAAUGGCAUAAUUAUUCCAGAGUGGCCGGGCAGCUUCACGGUGCUCCCCUGUGUGUCCUGGCAGCUGGACGCCUCUGGUUUGCGUGUCGAGCUUUACCCAGACACACGGCUCUUCUUGCUGUAAAUGUCUCAGCACAACACCGUGGCCCCACCUACCCCUCCAUCCCGUGGAGGAGCAGAGUCCCGCGGAGGAGGGGUGGGAUCCCCUCCCUCUGACACACACCCACUCCGAUGUGGCUCGUACACGCGCUGCUCUGAGGCAGCAGUCUGAGACUGAGGAGCGCUGGAUAGACCGUGCCAGGGCGUGCAGGUGUCCCACCCUUCUGCAGCGCACAUGGAUCUUCACCAGUCCAUAGUGCUGCACGGCAGCAGAGGAGACGCUUCCAUGCCAACGGCUGGUUACAUGUGCUGUGGCUUCGGACCCACCUUAACCCUCAUGACAAACUGCCACCUGAAUAAAAUUAGUUAAGUAAGUAUGAUGCAGUUAUUUUCACUGUAUAUUGUAUUUAAAACUCCUGUUAAAUCUAG